UCGAGAAUAUUCGACAAUGGGCGAAAGCCUGAUCGAGCGACGCCGCGUGCUUGAAGAAGCCCUUCGGGGUGUAAAGAGCUUUUCUCAGGGAGGAAGUUAUUGACAGUACCUGAGGAAUAAGGAGCUGCUAAUCACGUGCCAGCAGCCGCGGUAAUACGUGAGCUCCAAGCGUUAUCCGGAUUUAUUGGGCGUAAAGCGUUCGUAGGUGUUCUGUUGCAUCUUUCGUUAAAUAUUCAAGGCUUAACUUUGAAGGUGCGGAAGAGAUGGGCAGAAUUGAGGGCACUAGGGGCUGAUAGAACGGUCGGUGUAGGGGUGAAAUCCGUUGAUAUCGACCGGAAUACCAAAAGCGAAGGCAUUCAGCUGGGGUGACCCUGACACUGAGGAACGAAAGCGUGGGGAGCAAAAAGG
This 408-nucleotide ribosomal RNA is filed under the name uncultured bacterium. Its description in RNAcentral is "bacterial SSU rRNA". It matches the Rfam family "Bacterial small subunit ribosomal RNA", at positions 355 to 776 of the family's 1533-position model. The record is from RNAcentral.